This 87-nucleotide signal recognition particle RNA is filed under the name bacterium endosymbiont of Pedicinus badii. RNAcentral's name for it is "Bacterial small signal recognition particle RNA". It matches the Rfam family "Bacterial small signal recognition particle RNA". Rfam says of the family: The signal recognition particle (SRP) is a universally conserved ribonucleoprotein involved in the co-translational targeting of proteins to membranes. Archaeal SRP consists of a 7S RNA and homologues of the eukaryotic SRP19 and SRP54 proteins. The record is from Rfam by way of RNAcentral. Lineage: Bacteria; Pseudomonadati; Pseudomonadota; Gammaproteobacteria.
UGCGAGGCGGAAAAUUUAACGAAGUAAUUUGGUCAGGUUCGGAAGAAAGCAGUCAAAUAGUUCGUUACUUUUUUUAGCCUCAAAUCU